GGACAGGACAUGACUAUGUUGUUGAGAGACCAUUAGUGGGACUUUACAUUAUAGACUUAUAUCAUACCACUGUUAGGUUCUUAUUUUUCAGAGUAAAUAACUCAGACUCUAGAGAAGCUUUAACCAAGUUUAAUCAUUUCCCAAAGGUUCUGUACAGCAGAAAAUCAGACAGCUAAAGAUUUCAGACUUCACAGUUUAUAUACAUCCUACUUAAGACACUCCCCUUUCUCUCCAAUCCCUACAUUUCAUGGCUCCACAGGAAGCUAAUAAAGAGAGUAACAGGAUACCAAACAUUAAAUUACUCUCUUCAGAGAAUCUGUCCUGACCUCAACCUCUCAUCUAAUACCCAGAUGUCUCCCCUGUAUCAACACAUCGCUCUCCUCUCCUCCUGACCUCAACCCCUCCUUCACCUAAUCCACAGAUGUCCAUCUGUCUCCCUGUAUCAACACAUCUCUGUCCUGACCUCAGCCCCUCCUUCACCUAAUCCACAGAUGUCCAUCUGUCUCCCCCAUGUAUCAACACAUCUCUGUCCUGACCUCAACCCCUCCUUCACCUAAUCCACAGAUGUCCAUCUGUCUCCCCUGUAUCAACACAUCUCUGUCCUCACCUCCUGACCUCAACCCCUCCUUCACCUAAUCCACAGAUGUCCAUCUGUCUCCCCAUGUAUCAACACAUCUCUGUCCUCACCUCCUGACCUCAACCCCUCCUUCACCUAAUCCACAGAUGUCCAUCUGCCUCCCCAUGUAUCAACACAUCUCUGUCCUGACCUCAACCCCCUUCACCUAAUCCACAGAUGUCCAUCUGUCUCCCCUGUAUCAACACAUCUCUGUCCUCACCUCCUGACCUCAACCCCUCCUUCACCUAAUCCACAGAUGUCCAUCUGUCUCCCCAUGUAUCAACACAUCUCUCUGUCCUCACCUCCUGACCUCAACCCCUCCUUCACCUAAUCCACAGAUGUCCAUCUGUCUCCCCAUGUAUCAACACAUCUCUGUCCUCACCUCCUGACCUCAACCCCUCCUUCACCUAAUCCACAGAUGUCCAUCUGUCUCCCCAUGUAUCAACACAUCUCUGUCCUCACCUCCUGACCUCAACCCCUCCUUCACCUAAUCCACAGAUGUCCAUCUGUCUCCCCAUGUAUCAACACAUCUCUGUCCUGACCUCAACCCCUCCUUCACCUAAUCCACAGAUGUCCAUCUGUCUCCCCAUGUAUCAACACAUCUCUGUCCUCACCUCCUGACCUCAACCCCUCCUUCACCUAAUCCACAGAUGUCCAUCUGUCUCCCCAUGUAUCAACACAUCUCUCUCCUCUCCUCCUGACCUCAACCCCUCCUUCACCUAAUCCACAGAUAUCCAUCUGUCUCCCCCAUGUAUCAACGCAUUGCUGUCCUCUCCUCCAUCAAACACAUUCCAAAGCCUUCUGUCUUUCUUCAGAGAUCCAUUCUAACAGAACACCCAGUCUCUUUCAUUUCCUAUCAUUCAUUUACUAUCUCAAUGUUUAGCACAUUCAUUCUUCCCAUGACAGACUGACCAGGUGAAUCCAGGAUCCCUUAUUGAUGUCACCUUAAAUUCACUUCAAUCAGUGUAGAUGAAGGGGAGGAGACGGGUUAAAUAAUGAUUCUUUGCCAUUCAGAGGGUGAAUGGGCAAGAAAAGAUUGAAAUCAAAUUUGAUUAGUCACAAUGCAGUAAAAAAUAAUGAAUAAGAACUAAAAUUAACAAAUAAUUAAAGAGCAGCAGUAAUAAUAAUCAUAGCGAGACUAUAUGCAGGGGGCACCGGUUAGUAAUGAGACUAUAUGCAGGGGGCACCGGUACAGAGUCAAUGUGCGGGGUCACCGGUGUCAUACCUCUGCACCAUCUCUCUGUCUCCUACACCCAGGAUGCUGUGGUCAGAGAGGUCGUAAAUUCCUGGAGGAGAAUAUCUCCUCAUGGCCAGAGUAUUUAGAGAAAGUGAGUUUUCAUAUAGAGAGAGAAGGAGGAUAUACACCCAAAAGGGUCACGUUGUGGCAAUACAGACAGGUGGUUAGUAAAGUAACCUGGAGUAAAGUGAGCCGGUACUCCAGAGGUGAAGAGAGGGCAGGGUGAAAGAAGAGGCCUAAAGGACAGGAAGGAGCCGUCUAGAAGAGGCCUAAAGGGCAGGAAGGAGCAGACUAGAAGAGGGUUGGUCAGUGUCCUCCUAGUCCUCACUGGCUCCGUGGUCAGUAAGGAUCCUUCCUCUGGCUCAGGAGGGGUCGACUAGCUCAACAGGUAGCACUACGGAUCACCUCCAUCCACCU
Long non-coding RNA from Oncorhynchus tshawytscha (Chinook salmon), 2270 nucleotides. The record is from Ensembl. Lineage: Eukaryota; Metazoa; Chordata; Actinopteri; Salmoniformes; Salmonidae.